This 253-nucleotide ribosomal RNA is filed under the name uncultured bacterium. Its description in RNAcentral is "partial 16S ribosomal RNA". It matches the Rfam family "Bacterial small subunit ribosomal RNA", at positions 524 to 776 of the family's 1533-position model. The record is from RNAcentral.
UACGAAGGGUGCAAACGUUGCUCGGAAUCAUUGGGCGUAAAGCGCACGUAGGCGGCCUUGUAAGUCGGAUGUGAAAUCCCACGGCUCAACCGUGGACGUGCAUUCGAAACUGCUCGGCUCGAGUAUGGAAGAGGGUCGCGGAAUUCCCGGUGUAGAGGUGAAAUGCGUAGAUAUCGAGAGGAACACCUGCGGCGAAGGCGGGUUGCUGGGCUGAUACUGACGCUGAGGCGCGAAAGCCAGGGGAGCGAACGGG